AGGACGAACGCUGGCGGCGUGCUUAACACAUGCAAGUCGAGCGGAAAGGCCUUUCGGGGUACUCGAGCGGCGAACGGGUGAGUAACACGUGAGUAAUCUGCCCAUCGCUUCAGGAUAGCCAUCGGAAACGGUGAUUAAUACUGGAUAUGACAUUCCUUCGCAUGUUGGGGUGUGGAAAGUUUUUUCGGCGGUGGAUGUGCUCGCGGCCUAUCAGCUUGUGGUGGGUAAUGGCCUACCAAGGCUUUGACGGGUAGCCGGCCUGAGAGGGUGACCGGCACGACGUCGGGACUGGAGACGACCGGCCCAGGACCUACCGUAACGGGGACGGUC
RNAcentral lists this ribosomal RNA (330 nucleotides) under uncultured soil bacterium. Its description in RNAcentral is "bacterial SSU rRNA". It matches the Rfam family "Bacterial small subunit ribosomal RNA", at positions 26 to 347 of the family's 1533-position model. The record is from RNAcentral.